CCUACGGGUGGCAGCAGUGAGGAAUAUUGGUCAAUGGACGAGAGUCUGAACCAGCCAAGUAGCGUGAAGGAUGACGGCCCUAUGGGUUGUAAACUUCUUUUAUAUGGGAAUAAAAUGGUCCACGUGUGGGAUUUUGUAUGUACCAUAUGAAUAAGGAUCGGCUAACUCCGUGCCAGCAGCCGCGGUAAUACGGAGGAUCCGAGCGUUAUCCGGAUUUAUUGGGGUUAAAGGGAGCGUAGGUGGAUUGUUAAGUCAGUUGGGAAAGUGUGCGGCUCAACCGUAAAAUUGCAGUUGAAACUGGCAGUCUUGAGUACAGUAGAGGUGGGCGGAAUUCGUGGUGUAGCGGUGAAAUGCUUAGAUAUCACGAAGAACUCCGAUUGCGAAGGCAGCUCACUGGACUGCAACUGACACUGAGGCUCGAAAGUGUGGGUAUAAAACAGGAUUAGAUACCCUGGUAGUC
RNAcentral lists this ribosomal RNA (460 nucleotides) under uncultured bacterium. RNAcentral describes it as "partial 16S ribosomal RNA". It matches the Rfam family "Bacterial small subunit ribosomal RNA", at positions 338 to 795 of the family's 1533-position model. The record is from RNAcentral.